GCAAUCAGGGAAAAGGUUAAGGAUGUGGUUAUUGAUGAGCAAGCGAUCUAGUUUUUUAGCUAUAGGUUCCUCAGGCCUUCGGUUAGUCCAGGUAAACAGGGAUCCUUGAAAACGCAAGUCAAAGAGACCCAUUUGAGUGAGACAAUCUUUGAACUCGAUCAUGGCUGGGGAUAAAGAGUUUACGUCCAGUAGAGAGUGCUCAGCCGGAUGCAAGAUCUGAUUGAAGUCUCCACCUAACAUCCAGGGGGUGGUAGCAAGGGAGAAGGUUUGAUAAGUAUUCAGAAGCUCAACCCAAAGGUCAGUGCGUUCCGAGCUUUCAUUAGAGGCGUAGACUGCCGUGUAUAUAAAGACUGAGGUUCCAGGCAUCUUUAUUUCACAAGUAAUGGCUUGUCUCGAUAGAUGCAGGACAUGCACAAAAAUGUUGUCCUUCCAAAUAACAAUGAUUCUGCCAUCGCCGUCUGCCAAGUAAUUAGAGGUAAAGUUCCAUCCUCUACAGAGCUUUCCCGUAAGGUGGUUAAGGUUAUGGGUUUUGAUGUGAGUCUCUAGUAUAGUACCAAAAGAGGGUUGAUGACUCGAAAGUCAUUGGCAAAAGGGUGAAUGUUUUAUCGGGUCAUUUAGUCCCCCAACAUUCCAAAAAAAAAAAAUUGUAUUCAUAGGGAAUUAGUCAAUGGCCUCUUCAGGAUGAAGAGGGCCAUGAGGCACCAAAAGAGAGAAGGGGUUAGAAGAAGGGUCAAAGUGAAAAGUGGAAUCAGGUGGGAUCGGAGGAUUUAGGUUAGAGGAUGAUGAAGAGAAGAAAUUUAGUUGAGCAGUAAAAGAUGGGAAUUUUUGGUUUGAGGGGCUGGAACGUGGUCUUUUUAAUGGAGGUCUGGGCUUGGUGGGGAUAAAGGGUUUGGAAUGAAAGGGAUUAACUGGUUAGAGGACGAAAGUAGGGAAUUUUGGUGAGGCUUUUGCUGAGAGGGUGUUGUGUUUGUGGUAUGGCUUUUUAUAGCAGGUGAGGAUUUUACAGGAUCGGGAACAGGGGAGGCAAGAGGAGCAGAGGAAUCAGUAGACGGAAUAAUAGGGGCAGAGUGUACAUUAGCAGAAUCUGUGGAGGUUCUACGAUUAUUACAAUUAUUAGUGAAAAUAUACAAAAAAUGAAUAUACAGCUUUCCAAAUAUAUUUAUAAAAUUAUGUAAAAUAAUUUCAAAUUGAAAAAUUAUGAUUAAAACUCAUUACAUAGUUUGUUUAUCAAUAUUUUAUGAGAAUUGUACAGAUACGCAUAAUUAUCUCUUGAAAUCUUCACAAAUGCUCAUAAAGGUUCAAAUCAUGAAUGAUAAACUAGUUAUUAAUCUAAAUUAUUAAAAUAGAACUACAGAUAAGAUUUGACCCUGAUUUUUCCUAAAUAUUUACAAUCUAAUGCCAGUGAUCUAAAUAAGGCCAUUUUAUCAAGACUAGCUAUUGACUCGUCUGUUUAAGAGUUGAGCUUGUUCAUUCUGUUUCAUUCAUUCGAAAUUGAUUGUGAACUUUCUUGAGUCUGUAACAUCUCUGUAACUCGUUUGAUCCUUAUCGUUUGAAGAUCUUUCUUGUUUACGAUCUUCUACAUCUGGAUUAUGUUUUGUUGUUUCAUGAACGGCGAAGCGAUUCAAAUAACGAAAUCAACGGAUCCUCGUUAUUAGUGGUAUCAGAGCCACUCUUCCUCGGAGCGGUUGGUAAUUGUUGAUCGGAUUCAAUGGUGGAAACUCGUGCGCAGGCGGCGUUGAAGGAGUCGACGUUGCGAGAGGUAUUUCAUUAUGGUAUUUAUAUAAAUCGACUCGUGAACAUAUCAAUCACAGCAAAGCCGGAAAAUGAAUUCACCAUUGACCCUCACUUUUUCUCGAGAAGUCCGCCGUCGAGAAGAUGUUCCAACCACCAGCAGCUUCGGGUAUCUUAACUGUGAGGCUUUCUGACGCAGUCUGAACAUAGCAUAGAGAGAUUGGUCAUUUUCUUCGUAGUUUUAGUUUCCAAGUGUAAAUCUCCCUCUACUCGCCAAACAUGGAGAAUCCAGAGGUUUCUUGUGAUGAUGAUGAUGAGCUGCCAUUGAGCCACAUAGUAGAUGUGGAAGAUUUUAGAAGCUAUUGUGCUGAUGAACAAGUAUGGUCUAAGGAAAGUGAUAAUACAGCAUAAGUAGCCGAGGAUGAGGAGGAGGAGGAAGAGGAGAAAAGAGAUGAACUUGGGGGUGAAUUCUCUGUUAAGUUGUUCUUUAAAGGAGUUUCAAUAACCGAGAGAGGAGAUUCAAGUUCUGGUUAUUCAGGAAUUGGUGUUAUAUUGAAGAGAUCAGGAAAUUUUGAGUUGAUUCAGGUCCAGAAGAAGCUGGACUUUUACGCUGAAGAGUCUGUAGCAAACUACGUAGCUUUACUAUAUGGUCUUACAGUAGCUUUACAAAACAAUCUCCUCUUUGUGGUUGCUGUAACAGUCUCAGAGUUUCUCUAUAAUCAGGCAAGUCGCUCUUUCAAAUGGUUUAAUCAUCUCUUUUGUAGCUUUGUUGUUUAUAUGAAAAUGGCAUUGAUGAGUAGUGAGGAGAAGAUUGAGAUCCCUAUCUUGGUAGCUCUGAGAGAAAGGAUGUUGGAGAAAACAAGUAACUUUGAUGGGUUUGUUCUAAAGAUUGCUCUUUUAUGUGAUCAUGACCAAGCUCUAAGCCUGGCUUAAGUAGCGGUAUGUGAUCUUCAAAAUUCUAGAGCAGACGGUAAUUGUAUUGCUUGUGGUACAAGUGAAGGUUGAUGUGAUGGACUCUGAGUCAUUCUUUUCCAAAUAGGUAUUGUCUUAGAAAAUGACGCUCUUUCUUUUAUCCAUUCUGUUUUUGUUCUUUACAAAAUUAUAUUGGAGUUUUUUCUUAAAAAUGUGGUACAAUUGUAUUUUGCCUAACUUGCUUUCAUUA
Brassica napus (rape) is the source of this 2893-nucleotide long non-coding RNA. RefSeq lists it as uncharacterized. Lineage: Eukaryota; Viridiplantae; Streptophyta; Magnoliopsida; Brassicales; Brassicaceae. The record is from RefSeq and is a predicted model, not a curated record. The transcript is spliced from 2 exons.